CCCUAUUGUGUUAGAUAUCUGGACUUGAAUAUCUGACAUCUCCACCACGGGGAUAAUCAUGCAUUGCUAAUACUCACUAUAGUUUAAGCUUAAUAAAACCAUUUUUAUAGAAAAUUAGUCCAAAGUAACAUGUGAUUAGAAAGCAAGUCAAGGCUGAAUGAAGGUUCAACUUGGUCAGGCUCCAGUCUUAAAAGGUUGAUGCCUUUGGCAAGGUCACCCCAC
This 222-nucleotide long non-coding RNA is filed under the name Elaeis guineensis (African oil palm). Its description in RNAcentral is "long non-coding RNA (EGUI_LNC034625)". The record is from RNAcentral. Lineage: Eukaryota; Viridiplantae; Streptophyta; Magnoliopsida; Arecales; Arecaceae.